RNAcentral lists this ribosomal RNA (325 nucleotides) under uncultured eukaryote. Its description in RNAcentral is "partial 18S ribosomal RNA". It matches the Rfam family "Eukaryotic small subunit ribosomal RNA", at positions 1470 to 1796 of the family's 1831-position model. The record is from RNAcentral.
CCCUUAGAUGUUCUGGGCUGCACGCGUGCUACAAUGGCGUUUCCAGCAAGUCUGCGAACCCGAGAGGGCCAGCGGAUCUUCGAAUUGGCGUCGUGAUCGGGACAGUCGAUUGCAAUUAUUUGACUCAAACGAGGAAUUCCUUGUAAUCGCGAUUCAUCAUAUCGCGCUGAAUACGUCCCUGCCCUUUGUACACACCGCCCGUCGCUCCUACCGAUUGAAUGAUCCGAUGAAUACCAUGGAUUGAGAGUACGAAUAGGUUCGCUUAUUUCUGCUUCUCGAGAAGUGGAGUAAAUCUUAUCAUUUAGAGGAAGGAGAAGUCGUAACA